CCUACGGGAGGCAGCAGUGAGGAAUAUUGCUCAAUGGGCGCAAGCCUGAAGCAGCGAUGCCGCGUGGGUGAUGAAGGCUUUCGGGUCGUAAAGCCCUUUUCUCGGUGAAGAGGAAGGACGGUAACCGAGGAAUAAGUGUCGGCUAACUACGUGCCAGCAGCCGCGGUAAAACGUAGGACACAAGCGUUAUCCGGAAUUACUGGGCGUAAAGCGCGUGCAGGCGGAUUAUCAAGUCAUGUGUGAAAGCUCCUGGCUAAACUGGGAGAGGCCAGAUGAGACUGAUAGUCUGGAGGGCGUCAGAGGAGUGUGGAAUUCCGCGUGUAGUGGUGAAAUGCGUAGAGAUGCGGAGGAACACCAGUGGCGAAGGCGGCACUCUGGGGCGCACCUGACGCUGAGGCGCGAAAGCAUGGGUAGCGAACGGGAUUAGAAACCCCGGUAGUCCAUGCCGUAAACGAUGUACACUAAACGUUCGUGCUGCGAAAGCAGUGUGAGUGUUGAAGCAAACGCGAUAAGUGUACCGCCUGGGGAGUACGGUCGCAAGGCUAAAACUCAAAUGAAUUGACGG
Molecule: ribosomal RNA, 565 nt
Filed under: uncultured bacterium
Lineage: Bacteria
Description: bacterial SSU rRNA
Rfam family: Bacterial small subunit ribosomal RNA
Source: RNAcentral